AGUGGGGAAUAUUGCACAAUGGAGGGAACUCUGAUGCAGCAACGCCGCGUGGAGGAUGACACAUUUCGGUGCGUAAACUCCUUUUAUAUAAGAAGAUAAUGACGGUAUCAUAUGAAUAAGCACCGGCUAACUCCGUGCCAGCAGCCGCGGUAAUACGGGGGGUGCAAGCGUUACUCGGAAUCACUGGGCGUAAAGAGAAUGUAGGCUGGCUAUUAAGUUGGAAGUGAAAUCCUAUGGCUUAACCAUAGAACUGCUUCCAAAACUGAUUGCCUAGAAUAUGGGAGAGGUAGAUGGAAUUUCUGGUGUAGGGGUAAAAUCCGUAGAGAUCAGAAGGAAUACCGAUUGCGAAGGCGAUCUACUGGAACAUUAUUGACGCUGAGAUUCGAAAGCGUGGGGAGCAAACAGGAUUAGAUACCCUGGUAGUCCACGCCCUAAACGAUGUACACUAGUUGUUGCUAUGCUAGACAUAGCAGUAAUGCAGUUAACACAGUAAGUGUACCGCCUGGGGAGUACGGUCGCAAGAUUAAAACUCAAAGGAAUAGACGGGGACCCGCACAAGCGGUGGAGCAUGUGGUUUAAUUCGACGAUACGCGAAGAACCUUACCUGGCCUUGACAUAAUAAGAAUCUUUUAGAGAUAGAGGAGUGCUAGUUUACUAGAGCUUAUAUACAGGUGCUGCACGGCUGUCGUCAGCUCGUGUCGUGAGAUGUUGGGUUAAGUCCCGCAACGAGCGCAACCCUCGUGUUUAGUUACUAACAGUUCGGCUGAGGACUCUAAACAGACUGCCUGGGUAACCAGGAGGAAGGUGAGGACGACGUCAAGUCAUCAUGGCCCUUACGGCCAGGGCUACACACGUGCUACAAUGGGGUAUACAAAGAGCCGCGAUACCGUGAGGUGGAGCAAAUCUCAUAAAAUACCUCCCAGUUCGGAUUGAAGUCUGCAACUCGACUUCAUGAAGUUGGAAUCGCUAGUAAUCGUGAAUCAGCAAUGUCACGGUGAAUACGU
RNAcentral lists this ribosomal RNA (1004 nucleotides) under uncultured bacterium. Its description in RNAcentral is "bacterial SSU rRNA". It matches the Rfam family "Bacterial small subunit ribosomal RNA", at positions 353 to 1371 of the family's 1533-position model. The record is from RNAcentral.